GUGAGUGUAUCUGUCAAGCUUCUCUCUGCGUAUUUCUCCCUCACCUCGUUCACCAGACCCUGCCAGUCGCUCUCGCUCCUCCUGGACGGAUCCAUCUCUGUUCGCACUGCAGGAAAAAUAAUAUAGUAAUGACGCAAGGACGAUGGUUGAAUAUCUGAACAUUUUGACAUUUGAGGGGCUUUUCCUCUUCCAGGAGGUGUGCUCGACCUGAAAAACCUAAAUUCAAAGGAAAUGCUGUCUCAGAUGCCAGAUGCUGACAGCCCUAUCAAUUUCAAACGUGCUCACUGAGGCACUUUGUUCCUGCUUUAUGGACACAAUGCACAGUCUGUGCAUUUACAAGAAUGGAGGACAGAGAGAAACACAGAUGAAUACAAUAGAUGUGGUUAAAUGCACUUUAAUGCGUUUACACAAACACAUUCUUACAAGACUGAAGGCUUUCAGUGUAGCGCUAGCUCUAGGGUCUAUAGUCAAAACUAAAUAUAUAAAUAUUUGCAAUGUAUUUUAAGAUAGAUAGAAAAAACUAUGGGUUUUAAAGAAAUGUUAAAUACUAACAAAAUAUUGCUUAUGCUAGAUCUUGUUAGCAUUUGGUGACUUUGCAAUGUUUUAACCAUGACCUUAUUUGGACAUCAUGCCAUUGUAAUUUGUGUGUAAAGAUUUAUAUUCCAAACCAA
This is a long non-coding RNA of Eleginops maclovinus (Patagonian blennie), 671 nucleotides long. RefSeq lists it as uncharacterized. The record is from RefSeq and is a predicted model, not a curated record. The transcript has 3 exons. Lineage: Eukaryota; Metazoa; Chordata; Actinopteri; Perciformes; Eleginopidae.